This 463-nucleotide ribosomal RNA is filed under the name Vreelandella stevensii. RNAcentral's name for it is "partial 16S ribosomal RNA". It matches the Rfam family "Bacterial small subunit ribosomal RNA", at positions 338 to 795 of the family's 1533-position model. Lineage: Bacteria; Pseudomonadati; Pseudomonadota; Gammaproteobacteria; Oceanospirillales; Halomonadaceae. The record is from RNAcentral.
CCUACGGGUGGCAGCAGUGGGGAAUAUUGGACAAUGGGCGAAAGCCUGAUCCAGCCAUGCCGCGUGUGUGAAGAAGGCCUUCGGGUUGUAAAGCACUUUCAGUGGGGAAGAAAGCCUUGGGGCUAAUACCCUCGAGGAAGGACAUCACCCACAGAAGAAGCACCGGCUAACUCCGUGCCAGCAGCCGCGGUAAUACGGAGGGUGCGAGCGUUAAUCGGAAUUACUGGGCGUAAAGCGCGCGUAGGCGGUCUGAUAAGCCGGUUGUGAAAGCCCCGGGCUCAACCUGGGAACGGCAUCCGGAACUGUCAGGCUAGAGUGCAGGAGAGGAAGGUAGAAUUCCCGGUGUAGCGGUGAAAUGCGUAGAGAUCGGGAGGAAUACCAGUGGCGAAGGCGGCCUUCUGGACUGACACUGACGCUGAGGUGCGAAAGCGUGGGUAGCAAACAGGAUUAGAUACCUGUAGUC